This 207-nucleotide ribosomal RNA is filed under the name uncultured bacterium. Its description in RNAcentral is "partial 16S ribosomal RNA". It matches the Rfam family "Bacterial small subunit ribosomal RNA", at positions 568 to 774 of the family's 1533-position model. The record is from RNAcentral.
CGCGUAGGCGGCCUGUUAAGUGUGAAGUGAAAUCCCCCGGCUCAACCGGGGACGUGCUUUGCAUACUGGUGGGCUUGAGUCCGAGAGGGGGUGGUGGAAUUCCUGGUGUAGGGGUGAAAUCCGUAGAGAUCAGGAGGAACACCGUUGGCGAAGGCGGCCACCUGGAUCGGUACUGACGCUGAGGCGCGAAAGCGUGGGGAGCAAACA